This 468-nucleotide ribosomal RNA is filed under the name uncultured bacterium. RNAcentral's name for it is "partial 16S ribosomal RNA". It matches the Rfam family "Bacterial small subunit ribosomal RNA", at positions 28 to 507 of the family's 1533-position model. The record is from RNAcentral.
GACGAACGCUGGCGGCGUGCUUAACACAUGCAAGUCGAACGGAAAGGCCCUGCUUUUGUGGGGUGCUCGAGUGGCGAACGGGUGAGUAACACGUGAGUAACAUGCCCUUGACUUUGGGAUAACUUCAGGAAACAGGGGCUAUUACCGGAUAGGAGCUCUUGCUGCACGGUGGGGGUUGGAAAGUUUCGGCGGUUGGGGAUGGACUAGCGGGUUAUCAGCUUGUUGGUGGGGUAGUGGCUGUCCAAGGCUUCGACGGGUAGCCGGCCUGAGAGGGUGACCGGCCUCCAUGGGCCUACGGUACGGCCCAGACUCCUACGGUAGGCAGCAGUGGGGAAUAUUGCGCAAUGGGCGGAAGCCUGAUGCAGCAACGCCGCGUGCGGAAUGACGUCCUUCGGGUUGUAAACCACUUUCGCCUUAGACGAAGCGUGAGUGACGGUAAUGAGUAAAGAAGCACCGGCUAACUACGUG